Molecule: ribosomal RNA, 497 nt
Filed under: uncultured bacterium
Lineage: Bacteria
Description: partial 16S ribosomal RNA
Rfam family: Bacterial small subunit ribosomal RNA
Source: RNAcentral
GAUGAACGCUGGCGGCGUGCCUAAUACAUGCAAGUCGAGCGAACAGACGAGGAGCUUGCUCCUCUGACGUUAGCGGCGGACGGGGGAGUAACACGUGGAUAACCUACCUAUAAGACUGGGAUAACUUCGGGAAACCGGGGCUAAUACCGGAUAAUAUAUUGAACCGCAUGGUUCAAUAGUGAAAGACGGUUUUGCUGUCACUUAUAGAUGGAUCCGCGCCGCAUUAGCUAGUUGGUAAGGUAACGGCUUACCAAGGCAACGAUGCGUAGCCGACCUGAGAGGGUGAUCGGCCACACUGGAACUGAGACACGGUCCAGACUCCUACGGGAGGCAGCAGUAGGGAAUCUUCCGCAAUGGGCGAAAGCUUGACGGAGCAACGCCGCGUGAGUGAUGAAGGUCUUCGGAUCGUAAAACUCUGUUAUUAGGGAAGAACAAAUGUGUAAGUAACUAUGCACGUCUUGACGGUACCUAAUCAGAAAGCCACGGCUAACUACGUG